GGGAGCUGCUAUCACUGAAUACAUAAAGAAAUUGAGCCUGUAUGAUUUCAAUCUUCACCUUCUGAUGCUGAUGAAACAGGAUUCUAUGCAGUUUUCCACAGGGAGAAGCAGCAGGCUGAAGUGGCUCUUAAGGGAGACGCAUACCUCCACAGGCAGAACAGUCUAGAUUGUUUUAGCACAUUCCACUUAAGGAUUGCAGUGUGACAGCAGAGAAAAUCCUCUCCAGUGAAGUAAUUGCAUCCAUUUCAUCUUCCCAGCCCUCCUCUAGAUGGGAGGUGGAGGACAGUGGGGACUCCAGACAGAGCCUGGGGACUUGGCUGCCUUGGAACCAGAACCUGGCCCUUCAGAGGAGUUGCAGAAUUUCGAUAGAGGAGUUGGGGGAGGUGUACUGGCUGAAGAGGAGGCCAAGGAACUCCUUUUCAUUCAUCAAAACUCAGCUUAUCACCUCUACCAUGAAGUCAUCCUGGACAUCACUCGUCCCAGUUAAUCACUCAAUCAUCUUUGCCAUCCUUGACCUGGGAUGAGAACAUUGCCCUCAUUGGUCUGGAAUCAGCAGGUACCUCAUGGCUGGAGGUGUAUUUUCAGACUCCUUUGGCAUCUGGUGAGGCCUGUGGAUUCAUUCUCAGAAUCACAUUUUUAAAUGCACAUAAUAAAAUACAUAGAGUUGCAAAGGAAGUUAAUUAUAUUGAAAUACAGUUAUCAAAAAUAUGAAUAAA
Molecule: long non-coding RNA, 716 nt
Filed under: Pongo abelii (Sumatran orangutan)
Lineage: Eukaryota; Metazoa; Chordata; Mammalia; Primates; Hominidae
Description: lincRNA
Source: RNAcentral